UGUGUGUGUGUGUGUGUGUGUUAAAUUUUUUUUUACCAUUUUCACUUUCAUAACAUUUAUUUUUUUUUAUGGAUAAACGUAUUCCUCCCUUUAUUAAUGUUUUCAAGGAGUUCGCGCGUAUACAAACUUUUUGUUUGUGCGUCAAUUUACAUUUUUUUCAACUCGACGUACGCCUCAGACAAAACGUAUAAAACACCUUUUUUAGU
This is a non-coding RNA of Cinara cedri, 206 nucleotides long. The record is from the annotation of a GenBank genome assembly. NCBI's taxonomy places the organism in Eukaryota, Metazoa, Arthropoda, Insecta, Hemiptera, Aphididae.